Brevibacillus sp. CF112 is the source of this 164-nucleotide non-coding RNA. Lineage: Bacteria; Bacillati; Bacillota; Bacilli; Caryophanales; Paenibacillaceae. The record is from Rfam.
UUCAUCGUGAGGUGGAAUCUUAAGGAAGCUGGAGGCAAAAUCCCGGCCCGAGGACAAACGAACAUCAUCAGGUAGAGGGGAUGGGACGACCUUGCUGAACAAAGCAAAGCUACACGGACAUCCCAGUGUAAAUGAUGCGGGGAGAUGGGAGGAAAGGGAGUCGU